RNAcentral lists this ribosomal RNA (465 nucleotides) under Vreelandella stevensii. Its description in RNAcentral is "partial 16S ribosomal RNA". It matches the Rfam family "Bacterial small subunit ribosomal RNA", at positions 338 to 795 of the family's 1533-position model. Lineage: Bacteria; Pseudomonadati; Pseudomonadota; Gammaproteobacteria; Oceanospirillales; Halomonadaceae. The record is from RNAcentral.
CCUACGGGGGCCAGCAGUGGGGAAUAUUGGACAAUGGGGGGAACCCUGAUCCAGCCAUGCCGCGUGUGUGAAGAAGGCCCUCGGGUUGUAAAGCACUUUCAGUGAGGAAGAACGCCUGGUGGUUAAUACCCAUCAGGAAAGACAUCACUCACAGAAGAAGCACCGGCUAACUCCGUGCCAGCAGCCGCGGUAAUACGGAGGGUGCGAGCGUUAAUCGGAAUUACUGGGCGUAAAGCGCGCGUAGGUGGCUUGAUAAGCCGGUUGUGAAAGCCCCGGGCUCAACCUGGGAACGGCAUCCGGAACUGUCAAGCUAGAGUGCAGGAGAGGAAGGUAGAAUUCCCGGUGUAGCGGUGAAAUGCGUAGAGAUCGGGAGGAAUACCAGUGGCGAAGGCGGCCUUCUGGACUGACACUGACACUGAGGUGCGAAAGCGUGGGUAGCAAACAGGAUUAGAUACCCGAGUAGUC